This 200-nucleotide unclassified non-coding RNA is filed under the name soil metagenome. RNAcentral's name for it is "partial contains internal transcribed spacer 2 and large subunit ribosomal RNA". The record is from RNAcentral.
GUUCGAGCGUCAUUACAACCCUCAAGCUCGGCUUGGUGUUGGGCAACGUCCUGCUGCGACGGGCCUGAAAAUCAGUGGCGAUCCCGCCCGGCUUCAAGCGUAGUAAAUCUAUGGCGCUUUGGAGGCCGUGCGACGAUCCGCCGGAAACUCCACAUAUCACGUUUGACCUCGGAUCAGGUAGGGAUACCCGCUGAACUUAA